Megalopta genalis is the source of this 1099-nucleotide non-coding RNA. NCBI's taxonomy places the organism in Eukaryota, Metazoa, Arthropoda, Insecta, Hymenoptera, Halictidae. The record is from RefSeq and is a predicted model, not a curated record.
UUAAAAAUAUAAAAAUGUAAAAUAAAAAUAUGGAAGAGACACGAAUUUGAUAUCAGGUCUAUCGAAAAGUUCGUAAACCAUAAUAAAAACAUGACGGUAUAUCAUUAAUAAGUUCAGACAGGAAUUUCAUAAUCAUCCGAAUUUAAUAAAUGCGAUGAUGCAGCUCAGAAAAACAUUGGUCUCUGAAUCGUACGUGGCGUUCUUCUUCUGGCCGUGAUUAACUUAAAGAUUUCGCCGGCAUGUAGUCGCAAUAAAUAGAGAUACAUUUCAGGAAACGUUUAUGAGGGAGGAGGGGAGAAGAAUGUUUCUUUAUGGAAAUAAGUGUACUGGGCCACAUGCGCCGCUCGUAUUUCCAUUCGCGGAAACAUCUAUCGGAAACUCUGCUUCCAAAGGACAGCGAACUGUCAAACGAGAAAAAUCCACACCGAUGGAUAUUUGCGUAAGCCGACGCACAAUAGAAAAACUUGCUUGUAACAAAAUUAACAGAUAAAAUAGAGUUGCACUUCGUAUAAAUGGUGACUCAGCUAAGAUUUUAGAUGAACAAAGAAAUCCAUCGAUCGUUUAAAUAAUUCUCUGCCAUAAAAAGCAAAUAUCUUCGUUUAACAACAUUUAACAAAUAAUUAAUUCAUAAUUAUCAAUUAACAAAUAAUGUGAAAAUAUUUACAUCGAUUGCAAUAAUAUAUGUGGAUAUUUAUACGAAUGGAUAGAAAUGCCCAAUUUUGUUUGUCAAUGAACGUAUUAAAUGCAGUAGAAUGCGCGGAAAAUAAAAAUAUAUCCAUGGUAAUUUUCUAUUUACUUUUUUCGCUAUGAUGGUUUAGCUAAAGCAGGAUAUUUUUACAACAACAUAAUAAACAAGUAAAAAUUGCAAUAACAUUUGUACAUUCAUAGUAUUUUCGUAAAUACUCCAAAUUAUUGAUAGUAUGUUACAUUAGACGUGACUUUCUUCAAUAGAUCAAGACAAAUUUUUCUUCUUAUAAAUAAACAGUAACAGCCGAUGCAUAUAAUAUGGAAAUAAAUGUAACUGUUCCCAAAUCGGAACAUUUCAAAUAAAUAGAUAAAUAAUCAAGAUAAAUAGAACAAAAGAAAUCGAAAAAUCUCA